GGGGGCGACCUGGUUUCGACGGGGGUUGCAAAACCGGAGGAGCAUGCCGAGAAUGAAUUCUCUCGUAAAUCAGAUUCAAUAAAUAUAAAUGCAAACGAUGAAAACUUUGCUGGUCAAGCUAUCGCUGCCUAAUAAGCACUUUAGUUAGCCGCACCGUGUACUGGCCUAAUCCCCAGUAUCCCGUUGACCGAGCUCGCUUAUUGGUAUCGAAUCAACGGUCAUAGAAGAUAAGCUAGUGCCUUGUCCCAUCCCGAGUCAAGACAUGAAAUUUAGGGAAUCGCUACGUUCUAUCCUGUCUGUCGGAGAGGCCGUAGUUAAAUUAAAAGACAAGACUACGCAUGUAGAACCAAAGGCAGAGGAUCUGCGGACGCGGGUUCGAUUCCCGCCGCCUCCACCA
Molecule: transfer-messenger RNA, 397 nt
Filed under: Legionellaceae
Lineage: Bacteria; Pseudomonadati; Pseudomonadota; Gammaproteobacteria; Legionellales
Also listed under: 1 other name
Description: Legionella sp002786205 Standard tmRNA
Rfam family: transfer-messenger RNA
About the family: Bacterial tmRNA, also known as 10Sa RNA or SsrA, is named for its dual tRNA and mRNA-like properties. Its role is to liberate the mRNA from a stalled ribosome.
Source: RNAcentral